Long non-coding RNA from Hippocampus zosterae (dwarf seahorse), 2182 nucleotides. RefSeq lists it as uncharacterized. The record is from RefSeq and is a predicted model, not a curated record. Lineage: Eukaryota; Metazoa; Chordata; Actinopteri; Syngnathiformes; Syngnathidae. The transcript has 2 exons.
UUUGUCGAAUGAAUGCUCGCAACACAACGCCAACUGGAAGUCCUGUUAUCGUGACUUUAAUGUUGAAAAAAGUAUUAAAUGUUUGUAUGCGUUGCGUGGUUCUACAAAGAACAUCCAACAAGCUUUUAUUGUAGUUUAAAUUUAUACACAUUUUCACAACACCAGCCGGUUGCAUACAGCAUGUGUACCAGGACAACGUUCAUCAAAAAUAACAGCAAGGACAAUAAGAUAGAUAUACAAGGUUACGGCAUACAUAUUUUUUUUCUAUCAAUAUACAUUUUUAAAUGACACUUCAGAUUCAAUAUGGCCACAGUAGAAGCACAAUCCUUCAUCAUUUUAGACCACUUAAAAAAAAUGUAUAAAAGAUUUUAAGACAAAAUAACGAUCAGUCAUUCCAGAAUUGGAGGGCAUUUGGGCUUCAAAAUUAUUAAAAACUAAGCCUUCGUUGUUUUGAUUUUCUGCUACAUAUUCAUCCAUCAUAAUCAUAAAUUACAAAUAAUAGUUUGAGUAAGGAGUACAUGCGACCCUGUUAAUGUCGUGCAAGACCAUCACUGUAAUCACCGCGACGGGGUUGCUGACGAAUGUUAGCUUUCUCUCAGGAUAGAAGCUAACUGUUUAGCUAGCUGUUACUGCUAACCAAGAGGACAAAUUUACUGAUGUACAUAAGUCAAGGGGAAAAUAUUAGAAAAUCCGGAUGCAUGUUAGCUUUCUCUCAGGAGUAGAAGCUAACUGUUUAGCUAGCUGGUCCUGCUAACCAGGAAGACAAACGUAGUUAAAUACACGAGAAGAAAAAAAAAAGUCUUAUUUUAAUCAUACGCAUUAGGGUUGCAUGAGGGAGAGUGAGACAUUCAAUCAAGACUGUUACAAAAAUAUAAUAUAAAUAGAAGAAGGAAAUAGCUUUGCGCGAGCCGUUCUUUUGGAAAACUGACGAUACCUAAAUGUGAUCGGAAACUGCACGGUUUAAUAGUUUGUAUUUGGAUAUUUUAAAAUUUGAUGGGUGGGAUGUAAAAUGUCCUCCAAUUCUGAAAUAACCUAUAAAAAUAAUUACAAUUAGAAUUACUGGAAUAAGUGAGACACUGAGAGUAGGCUCGCUAACUCCAUUUGUCAUUUUGCAGGAGAGUGAGAGUUGUAAUAAAAUUAGGGUGUGGGAAUUGAGACAUUUUGGAAAAUAAUUUUUAAAAAUGUCAUUCAUUUCAUAAUAUUUAUACACAAUAACAAUACUUAUUCACUUGUUUAACCAAAGAUGUUCAGCACAGCAGUUGUUCAAGUCCAAAACAUCCUUCAAAGCUAUCAAUAUUUCCUGAAGGAUAACAAAUAAUGAUGUUAGCCCACACUUUGUCUCAAUGGCUCAAUUUAUGUUUAUUAAAAUAAAAAAAAAGUGGCAUAAAAAAAAAAGGUGGCACACGGAAUAUCAAAUUUUGCAGCGACGGUGAAAAAGCUGGCGAGCGCACUGCCUGGCCCUUUAAUCCAAUCAAGUGACGCACACUCGUAAUAUGAUCUGACGAUACCACUGUGGCGUUGUUUCAUUAAGCCUGUGUGCAAGGUCAAAAAACAUUGAAUUCCUCUACAGAGUCGCAUCUGUUUGCCAGGGCAAGAUGUCGUUUCUCAUGGUGACACGGCGUACCCCUCUUAAAUGGGAAAUUCUCGUGAAAGUCAUUCUAAAAUAAUGGCCCGUAGGCCCAAACCCGAUUCCCGCAAGUUGCUUUUGCCCAUCGGAAAUAAUGGAUGGCGAAAUAAACUGGUUCAGAGUCAUCUAAGGACCCUCGUUAAGUGGCAAGCGAUGUUUUUAUACAGCCGUCUAUUUUCUGAACUUCUUGUCCACAUUUUUACUGACGUUCUUUACUGUCAGACAAGUUUAAAAAGAAGUAAACACUCUUUAUACAAUUUUUAAAAAACAAAAAAAACCUGUCAUCCCUUUUACAGUGCUUCUAGAAGACGGAAUAAGUUCACCCAAUUUCCCCAAAGUAGUAGAAGAGCAUGGGUUAGGCUUGCACAUUAGGGUUUGAAAUUAAAAGGAAGUCAAAUGAUGGUUUGUAGACCAGGGUUGGAGUUUCAAAACAUGGUUGGAAGCCAAGGUUUCGACUUCUCGGUACAAGUUAGGGUUUGCAAGCCUGGUUAAAAUUUAACAUGGGGCCCGAUAAUGUUUUUUAAUUUUUUUCUUCCGGUUGAGUUCCGAUAUUUG